This 51-nucleotide transfer RNA is filed under the name Felis catus (domestic cat). RNAcentral also lists the same sequence under 5 other names. Lineage: Eukaryota; Metazoa; Chordata; Mammalia; Carnivora; Felidae. The record is from Rfam by way of RNAcentral.
ACCUGGGUGGCUUAGUUGGUUAAGCGUCAGACUCUUGAUCUGGCCCAGGUC